ACUGGGUGUGGUGGCACACCCCUGUAAUCCCAGCUACUCAGCAGGUGGAGGCAGGAGGAUCAUCAGUUUGAGGCCAGCCUAGGCAAUUUAGUGAGACCCUGUCUCAA
Molecule: small RNA, 107 nt
Filed under: Marmota monax (woodchuck)
Lineage: Eukaryota; Metazoa; Chordata; Mammalia; Rodentia; Sciuridae
Source: RNAcentral